RNAcentral lists this ribosomal RNA (445 nucleotides) under uncultured bacterium. RNAcentral's name for it is "bacterial SSU rRNA". It matches the Rfam family "Bacterial small subunit ribosomal RNA", at positions 41 to 467 of the family's 1533-position model. The record is from RNAcentral.
GGCGUGGAUUAGGCAUGCAAGUCGAACGUGAACCUUGCUUCGGUGAGGUGAAAGUGGCGAAAGGGUGAGUAAUGCAUAGCCAACCUACCCCCGACACUGGGAUAACCAGGAGAAAUCUUGGCUAAGACCGGAUAUGCUCGCGAAGAUGCAUGUUUUUGCGAGUAAAAGGAGGCCUCUUAACAAUGCUUCUGGUUGGGGACGGGACUAUGUUCUAUCAGCUAGUUGGUGAGGUAACGGCUCACCAAGGCGAUGACGGAUAGCCGACCUGAGAGGGUGACCGGCCACACUGGGACUGAGAUACUGCCCAGACUCCUACGGGAGGCUGCAGUCGAGAAUCUUCCGCAAUGGGGGAAACCCUGACGGAGCGACGCCGCGUGCGGGAUGAAGGCCUGGUGUAACGCUGUCACACGUUAUCGAAAGAAACGGAAGGUUAAAAAGUACGUAC